This 1358-nucleotide ribosomal RNA is filed under the name uncultured bacterium. RNAcentral's name for it is "bacterial SSU rRNA". It matches the Rfam family "Bacterial small subunit ribosomal RNA", at positions 28 to 1381 of the family's 1533-position model. The record is from RNAcentral.
GAUGAACGCUAGCUACAGGCUUAACACAUGCAAGUCGAGGGGCAGCAUGGUCUUAGCUUGCUAAGGCCGAUGGCGACCGGCGCACGGGUGAGUAACACGUAUCCAACCUGCCGUCUACUCUUGGACAGCCUUCCGAAAGGAAGAUUAAUACAAGAUGGCAUCAUGAGUCCGCAUGUUCACAUGAUUAAAGGUAUUCCGGUAGACGAUGGGGAUGCGUUCCAUUAGAUAGUAGGCGGGGUAACGGCCCACCUAGUCUUCGAUGGAUAGGGGUUCUGAGAGGAAGGUCCCCCACAUUGGAACUGAGACACGGUCCAAACUCCUACGGGAGGCAGCAGUGAGGAAUAUUGGUCAAUGGGCGAGAGCCUGAACCAGCCAAGUAGCGUGAAGGAUGACUGCCCUAUGGGUUGUAAACUUCUUUUAUAAAGGAAUAAAGUCGGGUAUGCAUACCCGUUUGCAUGUACUUUAUGAAUAAGGAUCGGCUAACUCCGUGCCAGCAGCCGCGGUAAUACGGAGGAUCCGAGCGUUAUCCGGAUUUAUUGGGUUUAAAGGGAGCGUAGAUGGAUGUUUAAGUCAGUUGUGAAAGUUUGCGGCUCAACCGUAAAAUUGCAGUUGAUACUGGAUAUCUUGAGUGCAGUUGAGGCAGGCGGAAUUCGUGGUGUAGCGGUGAAAUGCUUAGAUAUCACGAAGAACUCCGAUUGCGAAGGCAGCCUGCUAAGCUGCAACUGACAUUGAGGCUCGAAAGUGUGGGUAUCAAACAGGAUUAGAUACCCUGGUAGUCCACACGGUAAACGAUGAAUACUCGCUGUUUGCGAUAUACAGCAAGCGGCCAAGCGAAAGCGUUAAGUAUUCCACCUGGGGAGUACGCCGGCAACGGUGAAACUCAAAGGAAUUGACGGGGGCCCGCACAAGCGGAGGAACAUGUGGUUUAAUUCGAUGAUACGCGAGGAACCUUACCCGGGCUUAAAUUGCAGAUGAAUUACGGUGAAAGCCGUAAGCCGCAAGGCAUCUGUGAAGGUGCUGCAUGGUUGUCGUCAGCUCGUGCCGUGAGGUGUCGGCUUAAGUGCCAUAACGAGCGCAACCCUUGUUGUCAGUUACUAACAGGUUCCGCUGAGGACUCUGACAAGACUGCCAUCGUAAGAUGUGAGGAAGGUGGGGAUGACGUCAAAUCAGCACGGCCCUUACGUCCGGGGCUACACACGUGUUACAAUGGGGGGUACAGAGGGCCGCUACCACGCGAGUGGAUGCCAAUCCCCAAAACCUCUCUCAGUUCGGACUGGAGUCUGCAACCCGACUCCACGAAGCUGGAUUCGCUAGUAAUCGCGCAUCAGCCACGGCGCGGUGAAUACGUUCCCGGGCCU